UNAAAGAGAUAGGAGUUGAACCUACGUCUAAG
Molecule: transfer RNA, 32 nt
Filed under: Polypedates leucomystax (Java whipping frog)
Lineage: Eukaryota; Metazoa; Chordata; Amphibia; Anura; Rhacophoridae
Description: partial tRNA-Gln
Source: RNAcentral